AUUGAACGCUGGCGGCAUGCUUUACACAUGCAAGUCGAACGGUAACAGGGUGCUUGCACCGCUGACGAGUGGCGAACGGGUGAGUAAUGCGUCGGAACGUGCCGAGUAGUGGGGGAUAACGCAGCGAAAGUUGUGCUAAUACCGCAUACGUACUGAGGUAGAAAGUGGGGGACCUUCGGGCCUCACGCUAUUCGAGCGGCCGACGUCUGAUUAGCUAGUAGGUGAGGUAAAGGCUCACCUAGGCGACGAUCAGUAGCGGGUCUGAGAGGAUGAUCCGCCACACUGGGACGGAGACACGGCCCAGACUCCUACGGGAGGCAGGAGUGGGGAAUUUUGGACAAUGGGCGAAAGCCUGAUCCAGCCAUGCCGCGUGUCUGAAGAAGGCCUUCGGGUUGUAAAGGACUUUUGUCAGGGAGGAAAUCCCUAGUGCUAAUAACACUGGGGGAUGACAGUACCUGAAGAAUAAGCACCGGCUAACUACGUGCCAGCCGCCGCAGUAA
Molecule: ribosomal RNA, 500 nt
Filed under: uncultured bacterium
Lineage: Bacteria
Description: partial 16S ribosomal RNA
Rfam family: Bacterial small subunit ribosomal RNA
Source: RNAcentral